Molecule: long non-coding RNA, 1948 nt
Filed under: Apteryx rowi (Okarito brown kiwi)
Lineage: Eukaryota; Metazoa; Chordata; Aves; Apterygiformes; Apterygidae
Description: lncRNA (ENSARWG00000006483.1)
Source: RNAcentral
AAGACACUCGCCUAUUAGCAUUCGCCUGCUGCUUUGCUGUGCUACACAUGGUACAGGCUGGGAAUACGUGCUCUGGGAUGGUCAGUACAUUUUUGGUCUUAGGAGAGCUAGUUUUUCAGUGCCAACUCAGUUUCUUUGGAGCUGAGGGAAUUUGCUUUGAAAGUUGAGAGAAAAACAUGCUUCACAGUUUUCACAGUUACACUCACCAGAAAUUACUUCAUUUGUGGCUGUUUUUGGCUUUCAUGCCCCAGCUAUUUUGACAUUUCACAUAAGUUAAGUGACAGAGAAUUAGUCGGCAUGCAUACUUAAAUGCCUGUAUGUUUGUGGCCAUUUCACAUUCAGGCAAAGGGUCUAGCUUUCCCUCAUGGGAAUUUCCUCCUCCUAAAAUAUAUGCAUCGUUUACAAAGUUACUUCUGCACAGGAGAAGCCUCUAGUCAGAUGUAGUUUGCAUACUUUCCAGAUCCUUUUUACUGCCAUAGAAAGAAAGAUAAAUACAACAAAAGCCUUGAGUAGCAAAGUGGCUAAUCUUUAGGCCGGGGUCAGGUAUUUACUGGAGAAGCAGCUGUGCCAGUUUAAGAGGUGAUUGACAUCCAGCUGUUUGACAUCACUCCCCAGCGGCUGUACAGUCAGCCCUGUUGCAUAAUAGACAAGACUGUAUAAAAAAAUUCCUCGUUCUUUGCAGGGCAAAGUCAGCUGGGUAAGCUCAGAUAACUUCUGCUUACUAACCCUGCUGCCUUUGCACUGGAGCAGAUGAGGAGUGCCCAGGUGAUUUAUCCCGACAUCGGAGCUGUACCAGGAAGUGGGUAAUUUCCAGUUUGUGCAUGGGCAUGGACAUUUUCAAAUGCCACAAAACCAUCUCUGCAAUGCCCACGUGACCGUGGCUCAGAAUAUACUCACUGUUUCAGAGGCUGUCAGUAACCGUCCUGUUCCAGACCCGGCUGUGCAGGCGAGGAUGGCAGGCGUCUGGCAUGGCUAUUCCCAGACGCUCAUGGCUCUUCCUGCAGCUCCAUGGGUCGAGAUGGUGCUACUACAGACAAAGCGUGCUGAGUUGUGCAGGAGGCGACUCUUGGCUGUGGUGAAAAUGCAAAACUGGAGGCAGAGGCAGCAAGACUUUCAACAGUCUGAGGUGUUUGCAAAGUGGAUAAUUGUGCAUGACCAGAUAUCUAAAACCUGGGCAAGACUCCACGCCGCGUGGCGCUUAGCCCGUCGGCAGGAGGGAGCGCGGGAGAGCUGCCCUGGAGCCGCGCAUGCCCACCGCCGAGGGCACCCUGGCACUGAACUCCCGUCGCCCAAGCAGGGUUGCCACUUCCCAGCACGCGGGUUGGUGCACGAUGGGCAGGAAGGGCCGCGUGCUCUUCUGCAGAGCCACAUUUCCACACAAAACAGCAGCGGCUGCCCCGAGGAGAAGCCGAGUCCUGCCAGAGCGUCUCCGAAUUUGCCAGCCCUGUGGCUGGUCUCUAGUCUGCRCCGUCCAGACCGGGCUCACGAGGAAUUGGAGUCUCCAUCCCGUCAUGCUUCUGAAGACCCACUGGCAUGCACUGGACAAGGAGAAGGCUUCUGUUAUCCAGCCAGAGAUGACGAAGGGGACCGAGGACACAUCGUGGACAACGGAUUGCGAAGGGCAAGCAGUCCAAUGACCUGCUUGCAAACAAUCCUGAUUUGAAAAUUCUUUAUCUAAUCUAAACUAAUAAUGACAAAUAGCCCUGAAAAAUAGUAGAAUCAAUUCACUAACCAAGCGAAGGCCUAGACUGAUAAUGAUAAAUUCACUCCAGUCUAAAUGUCCUUGUGGACCAUGGUUUUUAGUCUACAGAUAUUAAUUUGACUUUUGGAUAGCUUUUCUAAAUUGCAUCUCCAAACUUUUUUGACAGUUGCUUAUCUUUGCUACUAAAAAUCAUUAGAUUUUUUAUUUGUGUCAUGCAAUCAAUAAGAAAAAUAAAAGAUACUAAAG